Molecule: ribosomal RNA, 207 nt
Filed under: uncultured bacterium
Lineage: Bacteria
Description: partial 16S ribosomal RNA
Rfam family: Bacterial small subunit ribosomal RNA
Source: RNAcentral
CGCGUAGGCGGCCUGAUAAGUAGGGGGUGAAAUCUUGCGGCUUAACCGCAAGGCUGCCUUCUAAACUGUCAGGCUCGAGCACAGUAGAGGCAGGUGGAAUUCCCGGUGUAGCGGUGGAAUGCGUAGAGAUCGGGAAGAACAUCAGUGGCGAAGGCGGCCUGCUGGGCUGUUGCUGACGCUGAGGCGCGACAGCGUGGGGAGCAAACA